CUCCAGACUCCUACGGGAGGCAGCAGUGGGGAAUAUUGCACAAUGGGGGGAACCCUGAUGCAGCGACGCCGCGUGAGGGAAGAAGGUUUUCGGAUUGUAAACCUCUGUCCUCUGUGACGAUAAUGACGGUAGCAGAGGAGGAAGCCACGGCUAACUACGUGCCAGCAGCCGCGGUAAUACGUAGGGGGCGAGCGUUAUCCGGAUUCACUGGGCGUAAAGGGAGCGCAGGCGGCACGGCAAGUCCGGUGUGAAAGCCCGGGGCCCAACCCCGGGACUGCACUGGAAACUGUAUGGCUGGAGUGCAGGAGAGGUAAGUGGAAUUCCUAGUGUAGCGGUGAAAUGCGUAGAUAUUAGGAGGAACACCAGUGGCGAAGGCGGCUUACUGGACUGUAACUGACGUUGAGGCUCGAAAGCGUGGGGAGCAAACAGGAUUAGAUACCCGAGUAU
Molecule: ribosomal RNA, 447 nt
Filed under: uncultured bacterium
Lineage: Bacteria
Description: partial 16S ribosomal RNA
Rfam family: Bacterial small subunit ribosomal RNA
Source: RNAcentral